This 274-nucleotide ribosomal RNA is filed under the name uncultured bacterium. Its description in RNAcentral is "partial 16S ribosomal RNA". It matches the Rfam family "Bacterial small subunit ribosomal RNA", at positions 523 to 796 of the family's 1533-position model. The record is from RNAcentral.
AUACGGAGGGUGCAAGCGUUAUUCGGAUUUAUUGGGCGUAAAGGGCGCGUAGGCGGCUUGGUAAGUCAGAUGUGAAAGCCCGGGGCUCAACCCCGGAAGUGCAUUUGAAACUAUCAGGCUUGAGUAUGGGAGAGGGAAGUGGAAUUCCUGGUGUAGAGGUGAAAUUCGUAGAUAUCAGGAGGAACACCGGUGGCGAAGGCGACUUCCUGGACCAAUACUGACGCUGAGGCGCGAAGGCGUGGGGAGCAAACAGGAUUAGAUACCCCGGUAGUCC